RNAcentral lists this ribosomal RNA (1379 nucleotides) under uncultured bacterium. RNAcentral describes it as "16S ribosomal RNA". It matches the Rfam family "Bacterial small subunit ribosomal RNA". The record is from RNAcentral.
UUCGCCCUUAGAGUUUGAUCCUGGCUCAGGACGAACGCUGGCGGCGCGCCUAACACAUGCAAGUCGAACGAGAGAUGAGGAGCUUGCUCUUCAAAUCGAGUGGCGAACGGGUGAGUAACGCGUGAGGAACCUGCCUCAAAGAGGGGGACAACAGUUGGAAACGACUGCUAAUACCGCAUAAGCCCACAGCUCGGCAUCGAGCAGAGGGAAAAGGAGCAAUCCGCUUUGAGAUGGCCUCGCGUCCGAUUAGCUAGUUGGUGAGGUAACGGCCCACCAAGGCGACGAUCGGUAGCCGGACUGAGAGGUUGAACGGCCACAUUGGGACUGAGACACGGCCCAGACUCCUACGGGAGGCAGCAGUGGGGAAUAUUGCACAAUGGGGGAAACCCUGAUGCAGCGACGCCGCGUGGAGGAAGAAGGUCUUCGGAUUGUAAACUCCUGUUGUUGAGGAAGAUAAUGACGGUACUCAACAAGGAAGUGACGGCUAACUACGUGCCAGCAGCCGCGGUAAAACGUAGGUCACAAGCGUUGUCCGGAAUUACUGGGUGUAAAGGGAGCGCAGGCGGGAGAACAAGUUGGAAGUGAAAUCCAUGGGCUCAACCCAUGAACUGCUUUCAAAACUGUUUUUCUUGAGUAGUGCAGAGGUAGGCGGAAUUCCCGGUGUAGCGGUGGAAUGCGUAGAUAUCGGGAGGAACACCAGUGGCGAAGGCGGCCUACUGGGCACCAACUGACGCUGAGGCUCGAAAGUGUGGGUAGCAAACAGGAUUAGAUACCCUGGUAGUCCACACCGUAAACGAUGAUUACUAGGUGUUGGAGGAUUGACCCCUUCGGUGCCGCAGUUAACACAAUAAGUAAUCCACCUGGGGAGUACGACCGCAAGGUUGAAACUCAAAGGAAUUGACGGGGGCCCGCACAAGCAGUGGAGUAUGUGGUUUAAUUCGACGCAACGCGAAGAACCUUACCAAGUCUUGACAUCCCUUGACGAACAUAGAAAUAUGUUUUCUCUUCGGAGCAAGGAGACAGGUGGUGCAUGGUUGUCGUCAGCUCGUGUCGUGAGAUGUUGGGUUAAGUCCCGCAACGAGCGCAACCCUUAUGGUCAGUUACUACGCAAGAGGACUCUGGCCAGACUGCCGUUGACAAAACGGAGGAAGGUGGGGAUGACGUCAAAUCAUCAUGCCCUUUAUGACUUGGGCUACACACGUACUACAAUGGCGUUAAACAAAGAGAAGCAAGACCGCGAGGUGGAGCAAAACUCAGAAACAACGUCCCAGUUCGGACUGCAGGCUGCAACUCGCCUGCACGAAGUCGGAAUUGCUAGUAAUCGUGGAUCAGCAUGCCACGGUGAAUACGUUCCCGGGCCUUGCACACACCGCCCGUCA